Pistacia vera is the source of this 1633-nucleotide long non-coding RNA. RefSeq lists it as uncharacterized. Lineage: Eukaryota; Viridiplantae; Streptophyta; Magnoliopsida; Sapindales; Anacardiaceae. The transcript has 6 exons. The record is from RefSeq and is a predicted model, not a curated record.
UGAUGUUAUAAGGUUUACUGCGAUAACUUUUCUGGGGUUUUGAUUUUCUUUGGCGUUUUCUAGAAAUUUAUUUAUAGAAAAGGAAGAAAAUGAGUUUUUUUUUUUUUUUUGGUUGGCUUAUGGAAAUUUAUAUGUUUAUUUACUUUGAAUAUGAUAGAAGAUUUAGGAGAAAGUUAGGGAUUUUGUUGUAGGUAGGAUAGAGCCAGUGAGAUGAAGAAUGCUUAAUGUUUGUAAUUAGGAUGAACAAACUGGAAUGUAUUCUUAGUAUUACAGUUGAAAUUAUAUAAAUUAGUUAUUUCUCUAGUCAUGUGGUAUGUGACAGUUCAAUGUAGUUGAUUUUUGUGACAGUUAAAGGGACAGACAUUUUGUAUGCAAAAUGACUAAUUCUUCUGCCGGACAAUCCUGAAAACAAAAGGCAGGAUCCUUACAGCCUAAUGAAACAACUUCCUUUAAGCGUAACCGAUGAGUCUUUCAAAAAGAUUUGCAGCACAUGAUGUACGAUUUUGGCAAUGAUCCUAAUCCACUUCCACAAACUUUGACACUUGUGGAGUAAAUAGUUGUGGAAUAUGUCACAAAUUUGAAUGUGCAGUGUUCUAAGGAAGAUUAAGGCCAUUCUUCAUGUGCAAGCUGGAAUUUGUUUGUAUUUCUUCAGAUAGACUGCAGCUCCAUAUUCCUGAAGAUGAAGAGGAUUUUUCGUUCGGCUAUCUUCAUUGAUAUUGUCUUGAAUUUGGUUGAAUAGGCUGGAGAGUUAUGGGUUAUGGGGAUGUUUGUGAAAUUUUGCUGAAGCCUUUUCAAAACUUAUGAUUUUCAAGCCUAUUGCCUAUAGGCAUGGUUUGUGGAGACCAAAAGGAAGCUGUGAUCUCAAGUAUCAAAGUUUUCUUAAAAUCCAGUCAGUUGUGUUCGGUGGACAGUUGCUCUUCUUCUGAUAAGGCAUGGAGCUCCAUUUUGAUUUGGGAGCCAAUGAUCGAUGCACUCCCUUAUUAAAGAGUUGUCUUAUGAAGCCACAAGAAGGAUCCCAUUGCUUCACCUCCUUAGAGAGCUAUAUAUGGCAGAGCUUCCAGAGCCUAAUGUAAUGCCAUAAUCCUAAGAUGAGAUGACGAGUUGAAGUACAACAAUGUAUCAGCACCUAAAAAUUGAUGGUGGUUUGCUUCUCAAAAAUAUGCAUUGCAAGAGCCCAAUUUCCUUCGUCUCUAAACCCCUCUUGGUUGAAAAUUGCUAAUAAGAGGUGAGUAUUUGGGAUAAUAAAGAGUGUACUUGUAAUUAGUGGGGGUGCGACAUUCUUUCAAGAACAAGAUACUUCCCACCUAACAUCACUUUCUGUUUAGGUUUAAGCACAGAAUUCGUGGAUAAAGGGCACUGGAAGAUGAGAAAGUGCAGUGUUCAGUUGUUCUGUGGGGUUGGUAUAUUGCAUAUGAGGUUGUUGAGUCCAAAAUAAGAGUUGAAAUUUAUUUUAACAAAACAACUCUCAGAGCAAACAAGCUAGGAAUUUAAAAUUCACUGGCCCCUUGUAACUCAGAAAACCAUUUUCCAAAGUCACAAACUCUCAAAGGCCUCACGCUUUUCACAACUUAAAUAUUCAUUUAUGCAUGUAAUAGUUUCUUCUUAGUACAAUAAAACAAAAAUCUCCCAAUUA